Molecule: ribosomal RNA, 496 nt
Filed under: uncultured bacterium
Lineage: Bacteria
Description: partial 16S ribosomal RNA
Rfam family: Bacterial small subunit ribosomal RNA
Source: RNAcentral
AUGAACGCUGGCGGCGUGCCUAAUACAUGCAAGUCGAGCGAACAGACGAGGAGCUUGCUCCUCUGACGUUAGCGGCGGACGGGUGAGUAACACGUGGAUAACCUACCUAUAAGACUGGGAUAACUUCAGGAAACCGGAGCUAAUACCGGAUAAUAUAUUGAACCGCAUGGUUCAAUAGUGAAAGACGGUUUUGCUGUCACUUAUAGAUGGAUCCGCGCCGCAUUAGCUAGUUGGUAAGGUAACGGCUUACCAAGGCGACGAUGCGUAGCCGACCUGAGAGGGGGAUCGGCCACACUGGAACUGAGACACGGUCCAGACUACUGCGGGAGGCAGCAGUAGGGAAUCUUCCGCAAUGGGCGAAAGCCUGACGGAGCAGCGCCGCGUGAGUGAUGAAGGUCUUCGGAUCGUAAAACUCUGUUAUUAGGGAAGAACAAAUGUGUAAGUAACUAUGCACGUCUUGACGGUACCUAAUCAGAAAGCCACGGCUAACUACGUG